This 248-nucleotide long non-coding RNA is filed under the name Struthio camelus australis. RNAcentral's name for it is "lncRNA (ENSSCUG00000003915.1)". Lineage: Eukaryota; Metazoa; Chordata; Aves; Struthioniformes; Struthionidae. The record is from RNAcentral.
CAGAGAGGCUUGAAUACCAAAAUAUGCAGAAGCAUAGACAUGGGACAUCCACGUUCCUUAUUAAGCAGAAUUCAGCUUUGAAGAUACUCUAGAGCCUGUGGGUUCAGAUCAGAUGUGAGAGACUUGGAAUCUACAUCUUCAACUGAAUGGGUAAAAUCAAAGAGCUUAUGAAAUAUGUGAGAAAUCCUACUGCAGUUUGUUCCAGACAGACAGAUGCCUAUUGGAUGGAUCAGAGUUUUGAUGCCUAG